CGGGCGAUGUGUACAUAUUAAUAUAAGUUUUCAAAAAAACAUAAUGAUUAUGUUUUACUAACAAAUUCUAUUUUUAAUAAUUUUUCAAUUAUUAUGUAUAUGAAAUAAUGUAAUUCAUUUCAUCUUAAUUAAAUUGCACCUUGACCUGAUAUUUAAAAAUAAUUUUUGUAAUUUUUUUAAUAAUUACUUACGGUGGUAUACAAAUAUGAAUUAAGUAAGGUUACACGUGUGUUUUCGAUUUAGAAACAAAUUCCUUUGUAAAAGUUAAUACCGUCAAAUUUACUAUAUUGGCUUUUUUUGAAUUAUUAUAUAAUUUAAUAGUAUAACA
This 328-nucleotide ribosomal RNA is filed under the name Epiperipatus sp. 1 GL-2011. RNAcentral's name for it is "partial 12S ribosomal RNA". The record is from RNAcentral. Lineage: Eukaryota; Metazoa; Onychophora; Udeonychophora; Euonychophora; Peripatidae.